GCAAUCUCAGCCAAACUGCGCUUGCAUCGAUUCACAAUCUUUGAGGACAGAGUAGUCAUGCAAGUUUGAAUUAAGGGCUCUAGAUUUGUCACUCCAAAAUCAAACUUGUGUGCUAUAAGCUCCAAAUUUUCAACAGCUAUUCUAGAAGCCAUCUCAUAGCCCUCUGCUACUCGAAUGGGAUGAAUUCCACGUUCCAACAGCUUCUCAGCCUGCUCCAAAAGUGCUCCAGCCAUAACAACAACACCAGUUGUGCCAUCGCCAAUCUCAUAAUCCUGACUACGAGAAAGCUCAACCAUAAGCUUGGCAAUCUGAUUGUCCACAUCCAUCUGCUCCAAGAUUGUAGCACCAUCAUUUGUGAUGGUGAUGUCGCCGUCGGGACUCUGAAGCAUCUUGUCCAUGCCCUUGGGGCCGAGAGAGGUUCGGAGGAUGCGAGCAACGGCUCUUCCGGCGGAAAUGUUAGCUUUCUGAGCAUCUAAACCUCGCAAUCGAGUCUUCUGCUCCUGCUCUUUUAAGAUAAUGAAAGGCCUUCCAAACUCGUCGAAGGCUAACGCCAUUUCUCUUCGAUUGAGCUCUUACCUUCACUGAUUUUCUCUACUUGGCUCUGCAACUAAGAAACCAGAGAAAUCGAAAUGGAGGAAGAAUGUAGAAGCUCUUC
This 655-nucleotide unclassified non-coding RNA is filed under the name Hevea brasiliensis (rubber tree). Lineage: Eukaryota; Viridiplantae; Streptophyta; Magnoliopsida; Malpighiales; Euphorbiaceae. The record is from RNAcentral.